GGGAGAGUACGGGUCUGGUGGCCCGCACGGUCUUCAAAACCGCUGAGGUCGGCGCAAGUCGGCUGGUUGGUUCGAUUCCAACACUUUCCCGCCA
RNAcentral lists this transfer RNA (94 nucleotides) under Vulcanimicrobiota bacterium. Its description in RNAcentral is "tRNA-Sec". It matches the Rfam family "Selenocysteine transfer RNA". Lineage: Bacteria; Bacillati; Vulcanimicrobiota. The record is from RNAcentral.